Molecule: ribosomal RNA, 433 nt
Filed under: Listeria monocytogenes
Lineage: Bacteria; Bacillati; Bacillota; Bacilli; Caryophanales; Listeriaceae
Description: bacterial LSU rRNA
Rfam family: Bacterial large subunit ribosomal RNA
Source: RNAcentral
CAAGAGUUCACAUCGACGGGGAGGUUUGGCACCUCGAUGUCGGCUCAUCGCAUCCUGGGGCUGUAGUCGGUCCCAAGGGUUGGGCUGUUCGCCCAUUAAAGCGGUACGCGAGCUGGGUUCAGAACGUCGUGAGACAGUUCGGUCCCUAUCCGUCGUGGGCGUAGGAAAUUUGAGAGGAGCUGUCCUUAGUACGAGAGGACCGGGAUGGACAUACCUCUGGUGUACCAGUUGUCGUGCCAACGGCAUAGCUGGGUAGCUAUGUAUGGACGGGAUAAGUGCUGAAAGCAUCUAAGCAUGAAGCCCCCCUCAAGAUGAGAUUUCCCAACUUCGGUUAUAAGAUCCCUCAGAGAUGAUGAGGUUAAUAGGUUCGAGGUGGAAGCGUGGUGACACGUGGAGCUGACGAAUACUAAUCGAUCGAAGACUUAAUCAAUUU